GACGAACGCUGGCGGCGUGCUUAACACAUGCAAGUCGAACGAGAGCGUAGAGAAAGCUUGCUUUUUCUACAAUCUAGUGGCAAACGGGUGAGUAACGCGUAAACAACCUGCCCUACGGAUGGGGACAACAGCUGGAAACGGCUGCUAAUACCGAAUACGUUCCGAAAGUCGCAGGACGAACGGAAGAAAGGAUGGCCGCUAGUUAUAAGCUAUCGCCGGAGGAGGGGUUUGCGUCUGAUUAGCUAGUUGGCGGGGUAACGGCCCACCAAGGCGACGAUCAGUAGCCGGUCUGAGAGGAUGAACGGCCACCUUGGAACUGAGACACGGUCCAGUCUCCUACGGGAGGCAGCAGUGGGGAAUCUUCCGCAAUGGGCGAAAGCCUGACGGAGCAACGCCGCGUGAGUGCAGACGGCCUUCGGGUUGUAAAGCUCUGUUAUACGGGACGAAUAAUCUUGUGGUUAAUACCCAUGAGAAGUGACGGUACCGUAAGAGAAAGCCACGGCUAACUACGUG
This 513-nucleotide ribosomal RNA is filed under the name uncultured bacterium. RNAcentral describes it as "partial 16S ribosomal RNA". It matches the Rfam family "Bacterial small subunit ribosomal RNA", at positions 28 to 507 of the family's 1533-position model. The record is from RNAcentral.